GAUCCUGGCUCAGGAUGAACGCUAGCGACAGGCUUAACACAUGCAAGUCGAGGGGCGAGCAUAGUAGGUAGCAAUACUUAUUGGUGGCGACCGGCGCACGGGUGAGUAACGCGUAUGCAACUUACCUAUCAGAGGGGGAGUANCCCGGCGAAAGUCGGAUUAAUACUCCAUAAAACAGGGGUCCCGCAUGGGACUAUUUGUUAAGGACUCAUCGCUGAUAGAUAGGCAUGCGUUCCAUUAGG
This 242-nucleotide ribosomal RNA is filed under the name uncultured bacterium. RNAcentral's name for it is "partial 16S ribosomal RNA". It matches the Rfam family "Bacterial small subunit ribosomal RNA", at positions 15 to 245 of the family's 1533-position model. The record is from RNAcentral.